Molecule: ribosomal RNA, 257 nt
Filed under: uncultured bacterium
Lineage: Bacteria
Description: partial 16S ribosomal RNA
Rfam family: Bacterial small subunit ribosomal RNA
Source: RNAcentral
UACGUAGGGUGCAAGCGUUGUCCGGAAUUAUUGGGCGUAAAGAGCUCGUAGGCGGUUUGUUGCGUCGGCUGUGAAAUCCCGAGGCUCAACCUCGGGCUCGCAGUCGAUACGAGCAAACUAGAGUGUUGCAGGGGAGACUGGAAUUCCUGGUGUAGCGGUGAAAUGCGCAGAUAUCAGGAGGAACACCAGUGGCGAAGGCGGCUUUCUGGUCUGUAAACUGACGCUGGAGGCGCGAAAAGCGUGGGGGAGCAAACAGG